Molecule: unclassified non-coding RNA, 20 nt
Filed under: Chlamydomonas reinhardtii
Lineage: Eukaryota; Viridiplantae; Chlorophyta; Chlorophyceae; Chlamydomonadales; Chlamydomonadaceae
Description: small RNA Cre_2744
Source: RNAcentral
UCGUCCCGGUAGCGAAACCA